This 467-nucleotide ribosomal RNA is filed under the name uncultured bacterium. RNAcentral's name for it is "partial 16S ribosomal RNA". It matches the Rfam family "Bacterial small subunit ribosomal RNA", at positions 28 to 507 of the family's 1533-position model. The record is from RNAcentral.
GACGAACGCUGGCGGCGUGCUUAACACAUGCAAGUCGAACGGAAAGGCCUCUUUCGGGGGGUACUCGAGUGGCGAACGGGAGAGUAACACGUGAGUAACCUGCCCUUGACUUUGGGAUAACUUCAGGAAACUGGGGCUAAUACCGGAUAGGAGCUCCUGCUGCAUGGUGGGGGUUGGAAAGUUUCGGCGGUUGGGGAUGGACUCGCGGCUUAUCAGCUUGUUGGUGGGGUAGUGGCUUACCAAGGCUUUGACGGGUAGCCGGCCUGAGAGGGUGACCGGCCACAUUGGGACUGAGAUACGGCCCAGACUCCUACGGGAGGCAGCAGUGGGGAAUAUUGCACAAUGGGUGGAAGCCUGAUGCAGCAACGCCGUGUGCGGGAUGACGGCCUUCGGGUUGUAAACCGCUUUCGCUCAUGACGAAGCUUUGUGUGACGGUAGUGGGUAAAGAAGCACCGGCUAACUACGUG